This 585-nucleotide ribosomal RNA is filed under the name uncultured bacterium. Its description in RNAcentral is "bacterial SSU rRNA". It matches the Rfam family "Bacterial small subunit ribosomal RNA", at positions 124 to 707 of the family's 1533-position model. The record is from RNAcentral.
AUCUACCUUUCACAGAGGGAUAGCCCAGAGAAAUUUGGAUUAAUACCUCAUAGUAUAGUACCUUGGCAUCAAGGAACUAUUAAAGAUUUAUCGGUGAAAGAUGAGCAUGCGUCCCAUUAGCUAGAUGGUAAGGUAACGGCUUACCAUGGCUACGAUGGGUAGGGGUCCUGAGAGGGAGAUCCCCCACACUGGUACUGAGACACGGACCAGACUCCUACGGGAGGCAGCAGUGAGGAAUAUUGGUCAAUGGGCGCAAGCCUGAUCCAGCCAUGCCGCGUGCAGGAAGAAGGUCCUAUGGAUUGUAAACUGCUUUUAUACAGGAAGAAACACCUCUACGUGUAGAGACUUGACGGUACUGUAUGAAUAAGGACCGGCUAACUCCGUGCCAGCAGCCGCGGUAAUACGGAGGGUCCAAGCGUUAUCCGGAAUCAUUGGGUUUAAAGGGUCCGUAGGCGGCCAAAUAAGUCAGUGGUGAAAGCCCAUCGCUCAACGAUGGAACGGCCAUUGAUACUGUUUGGCUUGAAUUAUUAGGAAGUAACUAGAAUAUGUAGUGUAGCGGUGAAAUGCUUAGAGAUUACAUGGAAU